GGUUUUUGUUACCCACUGGAUUAGUUUGUUUACCUUUGCGAGUAUUGCUGAAUAUUUAUGGCCAUCUACAGAGAAGAAAUGCGAAGAAAGUAUUGAAAACGACGCCCGCCAAAAAGAUAGAGAGCUGCAAAGACAGAAUGAAAGCGCCUCCAUAAUUCAGCGGGCUUGGCGAAGAUUUAAAUGC
Stylophora pistillata is the source of this 184-nucleotide long non-coding RNA. RefSeq lists it as uncharacterized. The record is from RefSeq and is a predicted model, not a curated record. NCBI's taxonomy places the organism in Eukaryota, Metazoa, Cnidaria, Anthozoa, Scleractinia, Pocilloporidae.